GACGAACGCUGGCGGUGUGCUUAACACAUGCAAGUCGAACGGAAAGGCCCUGCUUUUGUGGGGUGCUCGAGCGGCGAACGGGUGAGUAACACGUGAGUAACCUGCCCUUGACUUUGGGAUAACUUCAGGAAACUGGGGCUAAUACCGGAUAGGAGCUCCUGCUGCAUGGUGGGGGUUGGAAAGUUUCGGCGGUUGGGGAUGGACUCGCGGCUUAUCAGCUUGUUGGUGGGGUAGUGGCUUACCAAGGCUUUGACGGGUAGCCGGCCUGAGAGGGUGACCGGCCACAUUGGGACUGAGAUACGGCCCAGACUCCUACGGGAGGCAGCAGUGGGGAAUAUUGCACAAUGGGCGGAAGCCUGAUGCAGCAACGCCGCGUGCGGGAUGACGGCCUUCGGGUUGUAAACCGCUUUCGCCUGUGACGAAGCGUGAGUGACGGUAAUGGGUAAAGAAGCACCGGCUAACUACGUG
This 468-nucleotide ribosomal RNA is filed under the name uncultured bacterium. RNAcentral's name for it is "partial 16S ribosomal RNA". It matches the Rfam family "Bacterial small subunit ribosomal RNA", at positions 28 to 507 of the family's 1533-position model. The record is from RNAcentral.